Molecule: long non-coding RNA, 277 nt
Filed under: Lathyrus oleraceus (garden pea)
Lineage: Eukaryota; Viridiplantae; Streptophyta; Magnoliopsida; Fabales; Fabaceae
Description: Pisum sativum (pea) long non-coding RNA (PSAT_LNC004973)
Source: RNAcentral
AAAAAAGAAGAAGGGGGUUCCCGAAGUUAACCUUAUCGGGAAGAGAAGACACGAAAAGGGGGUUCCAAAGUUAACUUUAUCAGAAGAGAAGACAUGAACCCUGAAGUUAACCUUAUCAGGAAGAGAAGAGGGUUUCCGAAGUUGACCUUAUCGAAACGAGGAGAAAAGGGUCCUGAAGUUAACCUUAUCAGGGAGAGAAGAAGGAGGAUACGGAUUUCCAAAGUUAACCUUAUCGGAAAGAGAAGAAAGGUAUCAUGAAGUUAACCUUAUUAUGAGG